RNAcentral lists this ribosomal RNA (253 nucleotides) under uncultured bacterium. Its description in RNAcentral is "partial 16S ribosomal RNA". It matches the Rfam family "Bacterial small subunit ribosomal RNA", at positions 524 to 776 of the family's 1533-position model. The record is from RNAcentral.
UACAGAGGCCUCGAGCGUUAGGCGGAAUCACUGGGCUUAAAGCGCGUGUAGGCGGACCCCUAAGUACCUUGUGAAAUCCCACGGCUCACCCGUGGAACGGCUGGGUAUACUGGGGGUCUUGAGUCACCUAGGGGCGAGUGGAACAAAUGGUGGAGCGGUGAAAUGCGUAGAUAUCAGUUGGAACGCCAAUGGUGAAAACAACUCGCUGGGGGUGUGCUGACGCUGAGACACGAAAGCCAGGGGAGCGAACGGG